GGGCCCUUAGCUCAGCUGGUAGAGCGGCUGACUUUUAAUCAGUAGGUCACAGGUUCGAACCCUGUAGGGCUCA
Molecule: transfer RNA, 73 nt
Filed under: Nereida ignava
Lineage: Bacteria; Pseudomonadati; Pseudomonadota; Alphaproteobacteria; Rhodobacterales; Roseobacteraceae
Rfam family: tRNA
About the family: Transfer RNA (tRNA) molecules are approximately 80 nucleotides in length.
Source: Rfam by way of RNAcentral